CCUACGGGAGGCAGCAGUGGGGAAUAUUGCGCAAUGGGCGAAAGCCUGACGCAGCGACGCCGCGUGAGGGAUGAAGGUCUUCGGAUCGUAAACCUCUGUUAGCAGGGAAGAACGGUCACUGUGCUAAUCAGCAGUGAAUUGACGGUACCUGAAAAGGAAGCACAGGCUAACUCCGUGCCAGCAGCCGCGGUAAUACGGAGGGUGCGAGCGUUAAUCGGAAUGUUUGGGUGUAAAGCGGUCGUGGGCGGGAUGUAAAGUCAAGGGGGAAAUCCCCGCGCUCAACGUGGGAACUGCCUUUGAAACUGGCUAACUGGAGUGUGUGAGAGGAUAGUGGAAU
Molecule: ribosomal RNA, 337 nt
Filed under: uncultured bacterium
Lineage: Bacteria
Description: partial 16S ribosomal RNA
Rfam family: Bacterial small subunit ribosomal RNA
Source: RNAcentral